GUGAAAUAUAUCAAAGACACUAAGUUACACUUAGGAUUUAAGCAACUUCCCCAAUUCAACUGUAUCAAACGAAAAGAAGACAACACAUGAGAUUUUUAUUAAUUCUUUAGAUAAGAAAAGAAAGGGAAAUUCCUCUUAAACCAUCUGAAGCCAACAGCUGUAAAGUAACCCAUUCUACCUUCCUGAUCCACUCCCAAAGCCAGCUCCCUCCUGUUUCCCACUGCGGCAUCUGGAAGCCGGCUGAUUAUAAACAGGUCCCCUGCACCCUGCAUCUCUUCAGUCCCCAACUCCACCUGAAAGGAAACCCAACCCUUCACCCAGGAAACUUUCCCGCACAGCCCUCAGGAGUGAAAGCUACUCAUUCUCCCAGACUUUCUAUUUCCCUACCUUUCUUAGGCAAAUCCCCUCUCCCUACUUGGAAGCUCAGCACUAAUGGCAAUAUCAUCAUCCCUCCAUCUAUCCAUCCAAUAAAUUUGUACUUAAUGCCUGCUAUGUGGUAGCUAACAGGCUCCAGAACAGUAAAUCCUCAUGGGGUUAAAAUCUCGCGAGACAAACAUGAAACAAAUAAUCACACAAAUAACUAAUUGCCAAUUAUGAAAGAAAAGAAGAGGAAGGUACACAAGAUAAUGAGUAGGAUUUAGUUAGGCCAUGAGUAGGGGAAAGAGCAUUUUGAGAUGCGAAAAAAGAAAGGAAUGAACUCGUUCUCAGGAAACCAGGUACAACUGGGCAUAGUGGGUGAGGGGAGCGGUAUGAGAGGGCAGGGAAGAGGUGGGCAGGGCCUUGAGGCCAUGGAUGUGAGGGCCAGAACACGCAGGGCCUUGAGGGUCAUGGUGAGGACUUUGGAUUUUACUCUAAAUGCAAUCAGAAACCAUUGAUAGAGUUUCAAAACUUCAUUCCUUAUCACAGUCAUCUACUCCUAUGCUCACACUUAACCAGGAUGCUUGUUCCUCAGCUCUAUCCCAAUUCCUUCCACAUCCUAGAUAGCUUCAACAUCCAAGCCUUCUCAGGGACUCAAGCUCCUGGACUCCAGUGACCUCCAUCUCUACCUCCAGCACACUUCUCUUCACUUUUUCCUUGUCCACAACCACUCCACCUCUGAAAAUCAAAUUCCAAUAUUUCAUUCUCAGACCACGACCUCUCACCAAUCCUACUCUUCCACUCCCUACACCUCUCAUGCCUGUCCUCCAACCUUUUAACAUUUUUUAUUAUCAGAUUAGAAAAAAAAUUGAAAGCAGAGAAACUCAUCAAAAUAAUUGAGAAGUUUUUACUAUUUACCCCAUCCCUACCACAGCAUGUAGGCUUCCCUUUCUCCAUGCUUAUACCAACAUAUGUGAACUUACAUACACAAAUAGAGAGAUGCUUGUUUUCAUUACAAAAGGUGAACCAUAACAAAUACAAAAUUCUGUGACUUUUCUUCACCUAAAAAUAAACAUCAUGGACAAUCUCAAGCCAGUAGAUACAGACUGAACUAAUUCUUUAAACUGCUCCACCUCAUUCAAGGUACAGAUGCUCCCUGGGUUCCCCUCCAAAGAGACUUUACUUGUUUUUUGCUACGACAAACUUGCUGAUGCCAGAAAACCUUGAAGCGGGUUCUCCAGUGGAAUGAAGUGUUUCCAAUCUUUGUAGUUGGAAAAGAGCGGCUGCUUGUGACUGAAAAAGUCUGGGAGCAGAGUGGGUUCUCAUAGCAAGCACUUCAGCAGAGGGUAACAGGUCCAGGCGCACAACAACUGAAGCCCUCGUACCUUUCACCACUUGGCCUGCUACUGCCCAAGAAAUGUGCCAGGCGGCUGGCAGGUAGUGAGGGAACCACGACCAUGGGGAGAGAAGGAAAAUCAACACUCACGUAUGGGGUUUGGAAAGAAAGACUGUCAGCAGAACAGAAACAGGAGAUGCCUAGUGAAGCAGAACCAAUGGAAGAAGAAUGGAAGAGAAUUUUAAUGAAAAUAUAAUGGAAUUUCAGUUCUAAAAGACAAAAAAAUUGAGGACGAGCCCGGUGGCGCAGCAGUUAAGUGCGCACGUUCCGCUUCUCGUUGGCCUGGGGUUCGCCGGUUCGGAUCCCCGGUGCGGAGAUGGGACCGCUUGGCAAAAGCCAUGCUGUGGCAGGCGUCCCACAUAUAAAGUAGAGGAAGAUGGGCAGGAUGUUAGCUCAGGGCCAGUCUUCCUCAGCAAAAAGAGGAGGAUUGGCAGCAGUUAGCUCAGGGCUAAUCUUCCUCAAAAAUAAAACCCCCCAAAAAAGCAAAAACAAAAAAAUCCCACAAACCCCAACACUUUUAGGAACUAAAAAAUAUGGUUUCUUAAUUAUAAAUUCAAUAUCCAACAGAAAAAGAGAAUGACUGCCCUUGAGAACCACAUUAGUGGUCAGAAAAAUCAGGUGGAAGAAAUAUCUCACAAGAAACCCUAUGACAGGCACCCCAAGGGAAAAGGCAAGUUGCACAGAGGUCAGAUCCAGGGGACCAAAUGAGAAGGAAAGGAAUAUGUAGAGAAGUAAUAAUCACAUAAAUAAUGGAAGAAAACUUUUAGAACUUAAGAAAGUCAUGAGGCUCUGAAUGUCAAGGAUAGAAGGAAAAUCCUGCCAGACUUUAGUACUGUGGGACAAGGGCUUUCUGGGAUGGUGGAAAGCUGGAAAUGGAGACACUCCUCAGGGACACCAGGGCACUGACUCUGGGCUGAGUUUGGUUCACACCCCAGAAGAGCCCAACGUCUGUGCUUAACGUCCACAUGGAAACAGUAAGCACAGGGACUGUUAAAGUUCUUCUAGGGUCUAGCAAACUCCCUUUGUUGUCCCAUGUCUCUAGCAUCUCAGUGCCAACCUUAGGGACUUUGUGAUAGCCUUUUCUUUCCACAGUCUAUCUAAAACAUUGCAAGUUCCAAUUUUUAAAUGCCAUAUACACAAAUUACUGCAAUAAACAUUAAAAAUAUUAAAAAAGAGAAAGUAUUUGUAGAUGAGGUAAAUGCAUGACUGUUAAAAGUAACCAAUACCUUUAUUUAUGAAACAUAUAUGAAAGUAGUAUGGUCAGAGUUAAGAGCAGAGGCUCUGGACGACUGCCACUUACUAGCUGUGUGACCUUGGGCUGUGUUUUGGUUUCCUGAAAAGUAAAUGGAAUUAAUAGCAGCUGUCUCAUCAAGUGUAAAGACUACAUGGG
This is a long non-coding RNA of Equus caballus (horse), 3143 nucleotides long. The record is from Ensembl. NCBI's taxonomy places the organism in Eukaryota, Metazoa, Chordata, Mammalia, Perissodactyla, Equidae.